GAUGGGGGUCUCACUAUGUUGUCCAAGCUGGUCUUGAACUCCUGGACUCAAGAUAUCCUCCUGCCUGGGACUAUAGAUAAGAAGUUGAAGAAGCUAUGAGAGAUCAAACAGCCAGCACUCACCCUCACAUCGAAGGACCAGGGCA
Molecule: long non-coding RNA, 145 nt
Organism: Fukomys damarensis (Damara mole-rat)
Lineage: Eukaryota; Metazoa; Chordata; Mammalia; Rodentia; Bathyergidae
Exons: 3
Source: RefSeq, a predicted model, not a curated record